This 532-nucleotide long non-coding RNA is filed under the name Gallus gallus (chicken). RNAcentral describes it as "lncRNA (ENSGALG00010028810.1)". The record is from RNAcentral. Lineage: Eukaryota; Metazoa; Chordata; Aves; Galliformes; Phasianidae.
GGGGGUGAGCAAUGGGGUCCCAGGGCUGUGGGGUCCUGCUGCUGCAGCCGCUCUGUGGGGCAGGGAUGAGGGGGUCACAGGUCAGGGGUCAUAGGUCAUGGGGUCACUGGGUGAGCAGUGGGGUCCCAGGGCUGUGGGGUCCCGCUGCUGCAGCCGCUCUGUGGGGCAGGGGGCAAAGGUCAGGGGUCAUGGGGUGAGCAGUGGGGUCACAGAGACGUGGGGUGAUGGGAACGCAGUGAGGGAUAUGGGCUGUGGGGUGGGGUCACGGGGUCACGGGGUCAGGAGGUCGCGGGGUCGCGGGCGCCCACCCCUCAGUUUGCGCAGUGACGCCUCCACCUCCGUCUCAAUCAGCGGGAAGUCCUGCCGGCUGGGGCACCUGCGGGCACCCCAUAGCGCCCCAUAGCACCCCAUAGCGCCCCAUAGUGCCCCACAGUGCCCCAUAGCACCCCACAGAGCCCCACAGUGCCCCACAGCACCCUAUAGCGCCCCACAGCACCCCAUAGCGCCCCACAGUGCCCCAUAGCAUCCCACA